CAGUAGCCGCGGUAAUACGUAGGGUGCGAGCGUUAAUCGGAAUUACUGGGCGUAAAGCGUGCGCAGGCGGCUAUGCAAGACAGAUGUGAAAUCCCCGGGCUCAACCUGGGAACUGCAUUUGUGACUGCAUGGCUAAAGUACGGUAGAGGGGGAUGGAAUUCCGCGUGUAGCAGUGAAAUGCGUAGAUAUGCGGAGGAACACCGAUGGCGAAGGCAAUCCCCUGGACCUGUACUGACGCUCAUGCACGAAAGCGUGGGGAGCAAACAGGAUUAGAUACCCCCGUAGUCCCUGUCUCUUAUAC
RNAcentral lists this ribosomal RNA (301 nucleotides) under uncultured bacterium. Its description in RNAcentral is "partial 16S ribosomal RNA". It matches the Rfam family "Bacterial small subunit ribosomal RNA", at positions 509 to 807 of the family's 1533-position model. The record is from RNAcentral.